This 120-nucleotide unclassified non-coding RNA is filed under the name Natrinema hispanicum. Its description in RNAcentral is "Haloterrigena hispanica HgcC family RNA". The record is from RNAcentral. Lineage: Archaea; Methanobacteriati; Methanobacteriota; Halobacteria; Halobacteriales; Natrialbaceae.
AACGGCGGCGUGGCCCCGCCAGCACCCCGUCGGUGUGCAAACGUAAGUUCCCAACGCAACGGGCCUCGACUCGUGGGAAGCCUCGCCGUUUACGGCGAGGAGGAGGUCACAAUUUCGUUC